Molecule: ribosomal RNA, 467 nt
Filed under: uncultured bacterium
Lineage: Bacteria
Description: partial 16S ribosomal RNA
Rfam family: Bacterial small subunit ribosomal RNA
Source: RNAcentral
GACGAACGCUGGCGGCGUGCUUAACACAUGCAAGUCGAACGGAAAGGCCUAGCUUGCUGGGUACUCGAGUGGCGAACGGGUGAGUAACACGUGGGUGAUCUGCCCCUGACUUUGGGAUAAGCCUGGGAAACUGGGUCUAAUACCGGAUAUUCAUUUUUCCUCGCAUGGGGAUUUGUGGAAAGCUUUUGCGGUUGGGGAUGGGCCCGCGGCCUAUCAGCUUGUUGGUGGGGUAAUGGCCUACCAAGGCGACGACGGGUAGCCGACCUGAGAGGGUGAUCGGCCACACUGGGACUGAGACACGGCCCAGACUCCUACGGGAGGCAGCAGUGGGGAAUAUUGCACAAUGGGCGCAAGCCUGAUGCAGCGACGCCGCGUGAGGGAUGACGGCCUUCGGGUUGUAAACCUCUUUCGGCUCCGACGAAGCGCAAGUGACGGUAGGGGCAGAAGAAGCACCGGCCAACUACGUG